GGAAUAAAGGUUAGUAAUUCCCCGGCGUUACUGUGCGGUGCGCACCACACCUGUUUGUGUUUAUUUUCUGCCCUUAAAAAGCGUACUGAUUGGGUGAGCUGCAGGAAUCCGGCCGUGGCAGAUUUUAGUGGCAAGGUGCAACCGCCAACUCACGGGAGAUCCUCGGAUCUUUCCUAGGUAAAACACCGGAAAAGAGCUCGAGGUGCUGAGAGCUCACGGCUUGGGAUGGAGCUGAAAGAAUAAAGAUUUUUAAACUAUCCCCCACUGACCCUGCUGUGAGGCCCAGUGCACCUCAAAGUUCAGGACAGGUAGAGAAAAUAAAUACAACUCUAAAGGAGACCCUGACCAAAUUGACCAUGGAGACUGGCAUAGACUGGGUGGCACUCCUUCCCUCUUGCUCUCUUCAAAACAAGAAAUACCCCUUCCAGAUUCAGCCUUACCCACUUUGAGAUCUUAUAUGAGGUCUCAGCUCCUCUGACUGUAUUAGAUGAUGUUAUUAAACCAACAUAUCAUAGUAAUAAUAAUUUGUAUGCCAGGCUAAAAGACCUACAGGUGAUACAGAAAGAAGUCUGGUCACAGCUGACAGCAGCCUAUGCCACGGGGACCCCUGAGACAACUCAUCAGUUCCAGGUUGGAGACGCGGUCCUGAUACAGAGACAUCGUGCGGGAAACCUUGAACCAUGUGGUACUGUUGACUACCCCCCACCUCGGUGAAGGUAGAUGGGAUCCCUACCUGGGUACACGCCUCACACGUGAAGGCUCCCGAGUCUAGUCAAGAUGAAUGGUACUGUGGUACGGACUGAUAACCCUCUUAAGCUGUGCCUUCAGAGGGGGGACCCGGAGUCGCACCAACCCCCAUCAGCCUAGAACCUAUACCUGGGAAAUAGUCAACCAGGCAGGAGACCUCGCAAAUUCCUCCUCCGUGGUCACCACCACCACACCAUGGUAUGAUUUAGAGGUAGAUCUCUGUCGGCUGGCCCUGGGGGCUGACGCAGCCUGGGGCACCUCAGAUCACUACUUGCCCCAACAAAAACCUGUUAAUACCCAACAAAGGCAUAGCACUGUCCCAGGAUGCUAUAGUGCUGCAGCCAGGACAUACUUGACUAUGGCACCCAUAUAUGUCUGCCGGGGGUCGCGCAGAGAUCACUCUCUGACCACAAGGUGUGCUAUGCCCCGGACUACUAUUGUGCCUCUUGGGGAUGUGAGACAACUGGGGAUACUUACUGGAACCCAUCCGCCAGUUGGGACUAUAUUACAGUCAAGAGAAGAACCCCCCGACCCAACAACUUAAUUCAGGACCUACACCCUUAACUCGAACUGUGUUAAUAAUUGGUGUAAUCCCUUAGUCAUCUCUUUCACAGGAAAAGGCAAACAACAACAGUGGGAAGGCCGGGGGUAUGAAUGGGGCCUUCGUCUAUACAUAUCAGGGAAGGACCCCGGACUUACUUUCAAGCUUAGACUGAAAGUACAGAACACCCCAAGUGGACCAGUGGGCCCCAACAAGGUCCUGCCCAAUCAAAGGUCCCCAAAGGCCUCAGUGCCACCACUAGCCGCUCCAGCAGCUCUACCCUCGAAGGCGCCCACGUCUCCUCCUAGGGGACAUAACAGUACUAGCUUGCCAGUCACUAGUGUACCUUCAACCCUGUCCUAACUAGGCACCCUUCCACUGGGGAUAGACUGUUUAACCUUAUCCUUGGGGCCUACCAAGCUCUCAACCAAUCCAAUCCUAACGACACAGAGUCCUGUUGGCUGUGUCUAAUGGACAGUCCACCCUACAAUGAGGGGAUAGUGCUGGUAGGGAGCUACAGUAACUCCAGCUCACAUGGUGAAUGUGCUUGGCAGGAUCAGGGCAAGCUAACCAUACUGAAGUCUCUGGCUUGGGGCUAUGCUUGGGUAAGGUCCCCCCGAGCUAGCAAUAUCUCUGUAAUCAGACCUCUCUGAGCCCAACCACUACCCAAGAUUACUAUCUGGUACCUCCUAAUGGAACCUGGUGGGCCUGCAAUAUGGGUCUCACCCCGUGUUGCUACCAAGGUUUUCAAUAGAAAACUUAUAGAGACUAUUGUAUCCUUAUCCAGCUCUUGCCUAAGAUUAUAUACCAUGAUGCCCCAGGGUUCGAGGACCUGCUUGACAGGAGAGUAACCAGGUACAGGAGGGAACCCAUCUCCCUCACUCUAGCUGUGCUAGUGGGAUUAGGAGUGGUGGCCGGAGUAGGAACAGGGGCUGCUGCCCUGGUGACUCAGCAUCAGGGUUCUUAUCCUUACAGACAGCUAUUAAUGAAGAUCUUAGAGACCUACAAAGCUCCAUUGAGGCUCUAGAGAAGUCUCUGACCUCCCUCUUAGAAGUAGUUUUACAAAACAGAAGAGGACUUGACCUCCUAUUAAAGAAGGAGGACUGUGUGCCGCCUUGAAGGAAGAGCCUUGCUUUUAUGCUGAUCAUACUGGAGAGGUUAGAGACUCCAUGCAAAGACUCAAAGAGAGACGAGAUAAACGACAGAGGGACCUUGAGGCACAACAAGGAUGGUUUGAGUCUUGGUUCUCCCAUUCUCUGUGGCUGACCACUCUGUUGUCUGCUUUGGCCGGGCCCCUGGUGCUAUUGCUUCUGCUACUUACUUUUGGGCCUUGCGUGAUUAAUAGGCUUAUAGCUUUUGUUAGAGAAGGAGUUGGUGCUGUGCAAUUACUAAUCCUUAGACAACAAUAUAUGGCCUUACAAGAUCCUGAAGAUGAGCUGUAAUUCUAAGAUUAAAAUUAUUUACUAGACACUCCCCCCCCCCACCCACACACAAAAUUAUUUACUAGAAGAAGUGGGGAAUGAAAUAUUGUUCAAAAAUUCGUCUCGUCCCUGCGGGUCUGGAGAGAUGGCUCAGCGGUUAAGAGCACCGACUGCUCUUCCAGAGGUCCUGAGUUCAAUUUCCAGCAACCACGUGGAGGCUCACAACCAUCUGUCAUAGGAUCUGAUGCCCUCUUCUGGUGUGUCUGAAGACAGCUACAGUGUAUUCAUAUAAAUAAAAUAAAUCUUAAAAAAAAAAAAAAAAAAAAAAACUCAUCCCACUCAAGGCCUAAACCUGGCUUUCAGCCUGUACAAAUUAAUUCUGUCAGCCUGUACAACUUAAUUCUGACAUGACUCAAGUACUGGGAAGUUUGUGUUCCAGGAACUCAGAGGCCGAGACCGUGAGAUUAGAUAGCUGUCCUCCAUGGGUGAGUUCGGAGAAAAUGAGCUCCUCUGCCCUGCAUCCAGAGCUCCGAGAAAAGCCACAAAGAACAUCUGUGGGACCCCAGAUAUCUCUUCUGCCAGCUCAAGACCUGCUUGAGUUUAAAUAAGCACGGGGACCAAUCAUGUAUCACCCUGCCAUUCUUUACCCGCUCCUUCUCAAAAACCCUAUAUAUACUCUUGUGGUUUGGGGCCAAUCCCUCUGCCUCCUGCGUGAGGGUGAGGUACAUAUUGGUCCAGAGCUCUGCCCCAAUACAGCUUGUUGCCUUUGCAUCGGACCCAGUCUCUUGUUCUUGGGCGCCACUCCCUCCUGCUGUGCCUUCCAGCUCUGGGCAGCCUCGCUCUCCCAAACUGGGCAUGCCAGGGCUCCAAUAGCACAAGCCACCGCACUCUCCCGAACUGAGCGGGGUGGAGGAAUUCAGACUUAACAACCCCCUUAAGACUGACGCUAGAGGGGUUGAGGAUUUAGCUCAGCGGUAGAGCACUUGCCUAGAAAGCGCAAGGCCCUAGGUUCGGUCCUCAGCUCCAAGAGGGGGAAAAAAAAAAAAGGAAGACUGACACUAGAUCAUUGGACUAAAGUUAGGGACAGAGCACACAAUAUGUCAGUUGAAGGAAAGUGGCAGACUUUCGGUGUUGGCUGGCCCCCUGAGGGCUCUUUUGACCUGACUAUGAUUCUUGAUGUUAAAGUUGUUGUUUUUCAGGAAAAAAUUGGGAGCACAUCCUGACCAGCAACCUUACAUCUCGUUCUGGCAAGACCUGGUUCAAAAUCCUCCAUCCUGGAUUAAGCCUUGGGUUAAACCUGGCUCCCAGGCCCUGGUCCUUCGUGGCACAUCAGCCUCGCAAAAGAAACCAAAGGCUCCUCCCAAACCGAAGCCCUCAGUACCCUCUGCUCCUCCUAAGCUCUAUCCUGAGAUUGAGGAGCCUCUUGAGUGGCCAGCCCCUCCUUUGCUUCCCCCAUUUCCUCCCCAGCAGCCUCUAGUCUCUGCUCUGCAGGAGGGAGAAGUAGGAAGUGGGGGUCCAGUGACAGGAACCCAAAGCCGCAGAGUUCGGAGUCCUAUGGAACCUGACUCCACUGUAGUCAUGCCUUUGCGUACUUAUGGUAUCCCAGUGGACCCCCCUAACCUUCAACCCCUCCAGUACUGGCCCUUCUCUUCUGCGACCUUUAUAACUGGAAGGCUAAUCACCCCUCUUUCUCUGAGAAUCCCUCUGGCCUUCCUGGGCUGAUGGAGUCUUUGAUGCACUCACAUCAACCCAUGUGGGAUGACUGUCAGCAGCUCUUACAGAUCUUACUUACGACAGAAGAGAGGGAACGGAUCCUCCUGGAGGCACGCAAGAACGUGCCCAGAGCAGAUGGCCUGCCUACCCAGCUCCCUAAUGAGACAGAAGCAGGUUUUCCUCUGGACCGGCCCAACUGGGAUUUCAAUACUGCAGCAGGUAGGGAGCGACUGACAGUCUUCUGCUGGGCUCUGGUGGCAGGUCUCAAGGGGGCUGUGAGACGCCCUACCAAUCUGGCUAAGGUAAGAGAAAUAUUGCAAGGGCCUGUGGAGCCGCCAUCUGUUUUUCUAGAAUGCCUCAUGGAGGCUUACAGGAGAUAUACUCCUUUUGACCCUGCCUCUCCAGGACACCAGGCAGCAAUAGCUAUGGCUUUUAUAGGACAGUCAGCCCCUGAUAUUAAAACAAAAUUGCAGUUCAUGGAAGGAUUGCAGGACUAUACUUUGCAGGAUUUAGUUAAGGAGGCUGAGAAAGUGUAUCACAAAAGAGAGACACAGGAAGAGAGACAGGAAAGGGGAAAGAGAGAGACAGAAGAAUGAAGAGAUCGUAGACAAACAAGGAAUUUGACAAGGAUUUUGGCCAUGGUGGUAAGAGAAGGAGAUAGGGCAGGAUGCAGAUAGACAGGGAACCUGGGUGACAGAAGACCCAGAGCAGGAGAUGGGAGGAGGAAACCUCCCCUGGAAAAAGACCAGUGUGCUUGCUGCAAAGAGAGAGGCCACUGGGCAGGAGAGUGCCCUAAGAGGAAAGAAAAGACCCACAAAGUACUGAACAUACAAGAAGAUGAUUAGAGGGUACAGGGAUCAGUUCCCCUCCCCGAGCCUAGGGUAACCCUAACUGUGGAGGGGACCCCCUUAAACUUUCUGGUGGACACAGGUGCUGAAUAUUCUGUGUUGCAGCGACCUUUAGGGAAAUUAAGCACCAGAAAAACCACAGUGCUUGGGGCUACCGGACAAAAGCAGUGUUCUUGGACCACCUCCCGCACUGUGGACUUAGGGAAAGGCCAGGUUACCCAUGGCUUCCUGGUAACUCCAGAGUGCCCGACUCAUUUAUUAGGCAGAGACUUAUUGACUUUAAGUUAAAAGCCCAAAUUCAGUUUACCCCAUCCGGACCUGAAGUGAAAUGGGAAGAACCCGCAACCAUGAUACUGGCCUUAAAACUGGAAGAAGAAUAUAGGUUACAUGAACAACCAAGGAAGGAGGUGACUCCAGACCUAGAUUGGUGGCUAUCUAAUAUUCCUCAAGCCUGGGCAGAGACGGGGGGCAUGGGCAUGGCAGUUAGAGUUCCUCCGAUGGUAGUGGAGCCCAAGUCAGAUAGCACUCCCAUUGGAGUUGGACAGUACCCGACGAGCCGAGAAGCUAGGGAUGGAAUGUGAGCACACAUACAGCGACUCCUUUCCUUGGGCAUUCUGGUGCCAUGCCAGUCACCCCGGAGCACCCCUCUGUUGCCUGUAAGAAAGCCUGGCACCAAUGAUUACAGACCAGUACAAGACUUGACAGCGGUAAACAAGAGAAUGCAGGAUACACACCCAACUGUUCCGAAUCCAUAUAACCUCCUUAGUUCACUCCCACCUGAACGGCAAUGGUAUGCUGUUCUUGAUCUGAAAGGAUGCCUUUUUCUGUCUAAAGCUUCAUUCCAGCAGUCAGCCAAUCUUUGCUUUUGAAUGGAAGGACACCCAGACACUGGACAAACUGGCCGACUCACCUGGACUAGACUGCCCCAAGGAUUUAAAAAUUCACCCACACUUUUUGAUGUGGCGUUGCAUCGAGAUUUGGCCACCUUCGGGACUGCACACCCCCAGGGAACCCUCCUGCAGUACGUAGAUGACCUGUUGGUGGCGGCCUCCACCAAAGAAGAACGCCUCCAUGGGCCUAAGGACUUGCUUACAGAACUGGGUGAGUUGGGAUAUCGAGCCACCGCCAAGAAGGCUCAGCUAUGUCAGACUGAAGUAACCUACUUAGGUUACUCUUUAAGAGAAGGGAAACGGUAGCUGACAGAGGCCAGAAAGAAAACAGUUACACAGAUCCCUGUACCUACCACCCCCUCGAGAAGUAAGGGAGUUCUUGGGUACAGCUGGGUUUUGUAGACUGUGGAUUCCUGGGUUUGCCACAAUGGCAGCCCCAUUGUACCCUCUGACUAAAGAAGGGAAAACAUUUUCUUGGACCCCCGACCAUCAGAAGGCUUUCGAUGAGAUCAAGAAAGCCUUAUUAUCAGCCCCUGCCCUGGCAUUGCCAGAUUCGACUAAGUCAUUCGCCUUAUACUUGGAUGAGAGAGCUGGAGUGGCUAGAGGGGUUGUUACUCAGACUUUGGGACCCUGGAGAAGACCAGUGGCCUACUUAUCUAAAAAACUAGACCCAGUUGCGCGUGGGUGGCCCUCUUGCCUGAGAGCCACUGCGGCCGUAGCCCUGCUUAUCAAAGAUGCUGAUAAAUUGACCUUGGGGCAGCAAAUGACUUUAAUAGCCCCACACUCUCUUGAGAGUAUUGUGCGACAGCCCCCGGAUCGAUGGAUGACGAAUGCUAGAAUGACACACUACCAGAGCCUGUUGUUGACCGAUAGGAUAACCUUUGCCCCUCCUGUCAUCCUAAACCCUGCCACCCUGUUACCGGAGACUGAAGACUCAACCCCAGCACAUCAAUGUGAAGAAAUCCUGGCAGAAGAGACCAACCAUGGCCAGGAGGUUCCACCUGGUACACGGAUGGCAGCAGCUUCAUGGUUGAAGGUAAACGGGUGGCAGGGGUAGCAGUAGUGAACGUGACUGAUGUCAUCUGGGCUAACCAUCUGCCAGAAGGAACCUCAGCAUAGAAAGCGAAUUGAUAGCCCCCAACUGAGCCCUACAGAUGGCAGAGGGCAAGACUAAGCAUCUAUACAGACAGCAGGUACGCGUUUGGUACUGCGCAUAUACAUGGGGCCAUAUACAGACAGAGGGGACUGCUGACCUCAGCAGGAAGAGAUAUUAAAAAUAAAGAAGAGGGGUUGGGGAUUUAGCUCAGUGGUAGAGCGCUUGCCUAGGAAGCGCAAGGCCCUGGGUUCGGUCCCCAGCUCCGAAGGGGGAAAAAAAAAUAAAAUAAAGAAGAAAUACUUAGCCUAUUGGAAGCUAUCCACCUGCCUAAGAAAGUGGCCAUUAUCCACUGCCCAGGCCACCAAAAGGGACAAAGCAGAAUUGCAAAAGGGAACAGAAUGGCUGACUCAGUAGCCAGAGAAGCGGUGUAGGGGGUGAUGAUGAUGACGGGGAGUUCCCUGCACCACCAAAUAGUCCCAAAACCAGACAUCGAAUACAUCACAGAAGAUCACCAGCAUAUGGACGAGCUAGGGUUCUCACCUCCAGCGAAAGACAAGAGGAGGUAUGCCCCGGAUGGUAAACUGGCCCUACCCCAGACAGAAGGACAUGCCUAUGUGGACCACUUACACCGCCUGACUCAUUUGGGAACAAAAAAUCUUAAGACUCUGAUCAAAGCCUCAAAUUAUUAUAUCCCUAAACUUUCAGAGACUAUUGACAGAGUGAUAAAAGACUGUGCCCUGUGCCAUGAUUAAUGCAGGACAUUCGAGACUCCCUCUAGGAAAGAGACUCAGAGGGAGUCGGCCGGGCGUCUAUUGAGAAGUGGACUUCGCUGAGGUCAAACCUGCCAAGUAUAGUGAUAAGUAUCUCUUAGUUUUUAUAGAUACCUUUUCAGGAUGGGUGGAGGCUUACCCCACUAAGUUGGAGACUGCCACCGUAGUGGCUAAAAAGAUCCUUGAAGAAAUCUUUCCCAGGUUUGGAAUACCCAAGGUAAUUGGGUCUGAACAUUCCUGGCCCCUUUGGCCUAACACCUUAUGAGAUUAUGUAUGGGAGUCCCCCGCCCCUCCUUGAAUCGGGCAGAGCCCCCUGCCCUGAGGCUCUUCCUAAAACCCUGUUUGCUCAUUUGAAGGCUUUAAGAGACAGUCCAGAGUGAAAUCUGGAGCCGAGUGAAAGAAGCCUACAAGACCGGAAGUCCAGAAAUGCCUCACCGGUUCCAAGUGGGAGACACAGUCCUGGUCCGGCGACACUGAGCUGGGAAUUUAGAACCUCACUGGAAAGGACCCUACCUAAUACUGUUAACCUCUCCCACUACUGUUAAGAGAUGGCAGGACUAGGUCGGAGGCCCAUAGAUGUGGAGGGCUGGAUCAUUACUUUUGUAAACAAUGGACGUGUGAAACCACCGGAGAUGCUUAUUGGAAACCGACUUCUUCCUGGGAUCUAAUCUCAGUUAAUGGAAACUCUGCAGCAUCGGGGACCGACCCCCUGAAUAUUGUCUUUACCAAGAAAGGGCAUGAAUCCCGAGAUUGGAUGAGAGGAUGUGGGGAUUGCGCUUCUAUAUGACUGGUUAUGAUAAGGGAUUCACAUUUUCCAUUUGGCUUAGGUAGAGGCUCCCAUUUCUGUCCCCAUCGGGCCCAGUCUCGUUCUGCAGCCUCUCAAGCCGCAGUCCAAACCUACAGCACCCCCAGACCCUGUGACAGGGACCCUGCAGGGACUCAGACACCUAUAAUACCUCUAUCUGCCUCUCCUCCACAUACUGUAGACCAGCUAAUGAACAUAGUUGAUUGACAACCUCCGCAGUAUCAGGGAAAGGAACCUGCAUGGGCGUGGUCCCGGCUUCCCACCAAAACCUGUGUAACACCACCCAGAUGUUCAGCUCUAACUACAGAUAUCUGCUAGCCCCAUCGGAAGGGUGGUGGGCCUGUAAUUCCGGUUUGACCCCUUGUGUUUCUCUGGCCGUGUUAAAUCAAAAUGCCUCCUUUUGUGUCCUUGUACAGUUAGUGCCUGUAGAGAGCGGCUAAAGAUGGCUCCGACAUCCGGUGGUCGUUGGUGAUAAACACCUGCAAUGCGCAUGUGUUGGCAUUUCUCCGGCAGUUAUCAGACUGGAGUGAUAUUCAUGCUAAUAAGGUAUUUCAUACUCCACCAAUCCCCAGAGGACAAGUUUACUGUCACAGCCUGUCUUGUAUUUAAGGUGAGUGCCUUUGUUCCUCGGGGUCCCCGAAUCAAGAAUGAGGUGUUCCUGCAAUAAAAGCUGUUGAGAAGAA
Molecule: non-coding RNA, 9514 nt
Organism: Rattus norvegicus (Norway rat)
Lineage: Eukaryota; Metazoa; Chordata; Mammalia; Rodentia; Muridae
Source: RefSeq, a predicted model, not a curated record